Molecule: long non-coding RNA, 686 nt
Organism: Arvicola amphibius (Eurasian water vole)
Lineage: Eukaryota; Metazoa; Chordata; Mammalia; Rodentia; Cricetidae
Exons: 2
Source: RefSeq, a predicted model, not a curated record
UCCCACGAGCAGCUUAGCUCUAGCACCCCAGGCUCCCCACAGGACCUCUGCACUUGCACCAGCUCCACCCACCUCACGCCCUGAGGAACCUCCUGUUCUCACUGGGAUGUUGACUCUGGAUUUAGAGUGCCAGAAUGCUAAAGCCCACUUCUGCCAAAUCUACCCUGUGUGAUCUUGGGGAUUUCCUAUAAUAACCUAUCUGUGCUUCUGUGUUCUCUUUCGUUCUCAGGGCUAACAACAGCAUCUACCUGAUAGUGGCCUGAAUUGCUUUCUCCUAAAUUUACAAUGGUGACACUUAACCACUAGGACCUCAGAAUUUGGAGACAGGACUUUUAAAGAGGUGAUGACACAUCUCUAAUCCAUUAUGACAGCUGUCACUGGGGAGAGACUCCAGGAAUUCCUUGGCUCCUAAGGACUUUCCACUUCAUAAGCAUUGGCACCAGAUGAAUCUACUUCUGGAGAGAGCUAGCCCCUGCAGGUGCCCACAAGGCUGGCAUUGGUGCCUGAAGGAGGGCUAGGGACAUGACUGAAGCCCGCAGCUCAGGGAUGUACGUCCUCCCAGUAGCAAGCAAAUGGCCCUCAGCAAGUCCAGGAGGGAUGCCUCAGUGGAAACCAGCUUAGAAGCAGCUCGAUCUCGAAAUUUUAGCUCCAGAAUUAUGAGAUAAUAAAGUUCUGUUGACUCAGCA